CGCCCCGAGGCGCGAGUUGCGCACUAGGUGCAGAACAGCCCUAGCAACCCGAGGGUGGCUACCUCUGUGGGACGCGAAGUGCGCGUGCGAUCGCGACCCCAGACGCCCAAUAUGGGAUCUGAGGCUGACUUCCUCUAAGGCGGGUUCCCAGGUGGCUUCUUCCUUCCUGCAGUACACGUGCUGCAAGGGUGGUGCUCUGUAGCAGCUUCAAGAAGUUCUUACUGCCACCUCCGUAGGAUGAAGUAUAUUCGAUGCGCCCCGCACAGAGACAGGAUUUCUCUAUUUGUCUCUGGCUGGCCUGGAACUCAGUAUGGCUUCACCUGCCACCGCAUCUCCGGGCCCAGGAUGGAAGUGUUCUACAUGCAUGUAUGCCAGCAGGCCAGAAGAGGGCACCAGAUCUC
Long non-coding RNA from Mastomys coucha (southern multimammate mouse), 401 nucleotides. RefSeq lists it as uncharacterized. The record is from RefSeq and is a predicted model, not a curated record. The transcript has 3 exons. Lineage: Eukaryota; Metazoa; Chordata; Mammalia; Rodentia; Muridae.